This 365-nucleotide ribosomal RNA is filed under the name uncultured Rhodoferax sp. Its description in RNAcentral is "bacterial SSU rRNA". It matches the Rfam family "Bacterial small subunit ribosomal RNA", at positions 1014 to 1382 of the family's 1533-position model. Lineage: Bacteria; Pseudomonadati; Pseudomonadota; Betaproteobacteria; Burkholderiales; Comamonadaceae. The record is from RNAcentral.
CUCGAAAGAGAGCCGUAACACAGGUGCUGCAUGGCUGUCGUCAGCUCGUGUCGUGAGAUGUUGGGUUAAGUCCCGCAACGAGCGCAACCCUUGUCAUUAGUUGCUACGUUCAGUUGGGCACUCUAAUGAGACUGCCGGUGACAAGCCGGAGGAAGGUGGGGAUGACGUCAAGUCCUCAUGGCCCUUAUAGGUGGGGCUACACACGUCAUACAAUGGCUGGUACAAAGGGUUGCCAACCCGCGAGGGGGAGCCAAUCCCAUAAAGCCAGUCGUAGUCCGGAUCGUAGUCUGCAACUCGACUACGUGAAGUCGGAAUCGCUAGUAAUCGUGGAUCAGAAUGUCACGGUGAAUACGUUCCCGGGUCUU